GAUUCCCCUAGUAACUGCGAGUGAAGCGGGAAGAGCUCAAAUUUAAAAUCUGGCGGUCCUUUGGCCGUCCGAGUUGUAUUCUGGAGAAGUGCUUUCCGCGCUGGACCGUGUAUAAGUCUCUUGGCCCAGAGCGUCAUAGAGGGUGAGAAUCCCGUCUUUGACACGGACUACCAGUGCUUUGUGAUGCGCUCUCAAAGAGUCGAGUUGUUUGGGAAUGCAGCUCAAAAUGGGUGGUA
This 236-nucleotide ribosomal RNA is filed under the name Neolentinus lepideus. RNAcentral's name for it is "partial large subunit ribosomal RNA". It matches the Rfam family "Eukaryotic large subunit ribosomal RNA", at positions 73 to 301 of the family's 3401-position model. The record is from RNAcentral. Lineage: Eukaryota; Fungi; Basidiomycota; Agaricomycetes; Gloeophyllales; Gloeophyllaceae.